GCCCCCGUAGCUCAGCGGAUAGAGCACGUGCCUUCUAAGCGCUUGGCCGCAGGUUCGAGUCCUGCCGGGGGCGCCA
RNAcentral lists this transfer RNA (76 nucleotides) under Streptomyces sp. NRRL WC-3753. Its description in RNAcentral is "tRNA-Arg". It matches the Rfam family "tRNA". From Rfam's summary of the family: Transfer RNA (tRNA) molecules are approximately 80 nucleotides in length. Their secondary structure includes four short double-helical elements and three loops (D, anti-codon, and T loops). Lineage: Bacteria; Bacillati; Actinomycetota; Actinomycetes; Kitasatosporales; Streptomycetaceae. RNAcentral also lists the same sequence under 1 other name. The record is from RNAcentral.